UGGGGAAUUUUGGACAAUGGGGGCAACCCCGAUCCAGCAAUGCCGCGUGAGUGAUGAAGGCCUUAGGGUUGUAAAGCUCUUUUGCCGGGGACGAUAAUGACGGUACCCGGAGAAUAAGUCCCGGCUAACUUCGUGCCAGCAGCCGCGGUAAUACGAAGGGGACUAGCGUUGUUCGGAAUCACUGGGCGUAAAGCGCACGUAGGCGGAUUUGUAAGUCAGGGGUGAAAUCCCGGGGCUCAACCUCGGAACUGCCUUUGAUACUGCGGAUCUCGAGUCCGAUAGAGGUGAGUGGAAUUCCUAGUGUAGAGGUGAAAUUCGUAGAUAUUAGGAAGAACACCGGUGGCGAAGGCGGCCCACUGGAUCGGUACUGACGCUGAGGUGCGAAAGCGUGGGGAGCAAACAGGAUU
RNAcentral lists this ribosomal RNA (407 nucleotides) under uncultured bacterium. RNAcentral's name for it is "bacterial SSU rRNA". It matches the Rfam family "Bacterial small subunit ribosomal RNA", at positions 355 to 779 of the family's 1533-position model. The record is from RNAcentral.